AGGCAAGGUGAAUAUACCUGGACAGUAGAAAAGGUCUUCUAACACAGGAGCCACUAGAAACAGUGGGGAGCAGGAUGCAGACACUGAGCUGAAUGACUCGAGCUCAGAUUUGCCUGAAUGAGCAUUUGAGGUUCCAAUUAAAUCCUUGUUUCGGCCAUUGCAUUGCCUGCCAGUAGUUAAUCUUUCUCGAAAGCCUCAUCACUUAUCUAAAACAAAAGAAGAACGAGGUAAGGAGAAAAAGUAAUGAAGUGCAGCAUAGCACAUCUGUCAAAGGAAUGGAAAACCGCUUUAAAAAAAUAAAGUAUCAAUUACAUUAAAAAAUUAUUUUUUGAGCACUAAAUGUGUUCAUGUAAGGCAUGUUAAUUGUAAAGAAUCUGUAAGUACCAUUAUGUCCUUGCAUACAUAGGGUAUAAUGUAUGUUCUAUGGGUUUUGUUGUUUGUGUUUAAGAGAUUUACUGUUGAUGAAGCCACAGGAUACAAAUGACUGAUAGGAAUAGUUGCUAAGUGUGACCUCUCUGUACUAAUGAGUCCUCUGUAAGAUUGUUUGACAUCUUAAUACUGAACUGUUGAAUAUAAUUAACAUUUCUGAAAUUAUUUAAAAUCCACUUUUGGGUCAGUCUUAUUUUAUGUUCUUCAAAUGUGCGUAAUGCAAUACUGGGUACUGUAUUAAAAGACUUAAACUGUUUCAACA
This is a long non-coding RNA of Parus major (Great Tit), 691 nucleotides long. RefSeq lists it as uncharacterized. The record is from RefSeq and is a predicted model, not a curated record. NCBI's taxonomy places the organism in Eukaryota, Metazoa, Chordata, Aves, Passeriformes, Paridae. The transcript is spliced from 2 exons.